CCUACGGGUGGCAGCAGUGAGGAAUAUUGGUCAAUGGGCGGAAGCCUGAACCAGCCAAGCCGCGUGAAGGACGAAGGUGCCAAGCAUUGUAAACUUCUUUUGUCAAGGGACAAAAUCAGGCACGAGUGCCUGACUGAGGGUACUUGAAGAAAAAGCAUCGGCUAACUCCGUGCCAGCAGCCGCGGUAAUACGGAGGAUGCGAGCGUUAUCCGGAUUUAUUGGGUUUAAAGGGUGCGUAGGCGGACUGUUAAGUCAGCGGUAAAAGCCCGGGGCUCAACCCCGGCGAGCCGUUGAAACUGGCUGUCUUGAGAUGUCGAGAGGUAUGCGGAAUGCGCGGUGUAGCGGUGAAAUGCUUAGAUAUCGCGCAGAACUCCGAUUGCGAAGGCAGCAUACCGGCGCCGCACUGACACUGAUGCUCGAAAGCGUGGGUAUCAAACAGGAUUAGAUACCCUAGUAGUC
Molecule: ribosomal RNA, 459 nt
Filed under: uncultured bacterium
Lineage: Bacteria
Description: partial 16S ribosomal RNA
Rfam family: Bacterial small subunit ribosomal RNA
Source: RNAcentral